Molecule: transfer-messenger RNA, 352 nt
Filed under: Attheya longicornis
Lineage: Eukaryota; Bacillariophyta; Biddulphiophyceae; Attheyales; Attheyaceae
Description: SsrA
Rfam family: transfer-messenger RNA
About the family: Bacterial tmRNA, also known as 10Sa RNA or SsrA, is named for its dual tRNA and mRNA-like properties. Its role is to liberate the mRNA from a stalled ribosome.
Source: RNAcentral
GGGGCUGACUUGGUUUCGACAUUUAACGGUCAGUAUUAGAUGAUACAGGUCGAAGGGUAUCUUCGUAAAAAUCUACAACUUUAAACUAAAUGCUAAUAAUAUAAUUUCUUUUACAGUGAACGUAUUAACUAAUUGUUUUAAGAAGACUCAAAGUUCUUCACAAUUAUUACGAUUUGCAUAUUAAAAUAGAAAACAACCUUUAUUAAUUCCUUUUUUCACUAAAACUAGAGAUUUUUCUAGUUUAUAGUUUAGACUAACUUAUAAUUUUCAUAUGUUCAUUCAUGAACUAAGCCUGUGAACGAGUUUAUUAUUGAAAUUUAGAUGGACGUGGGUUCAAGUCCCACCAGCUCCA